This 367-nucleotide ribosomal RNA is filed under the name Pelophylax ridibundus (marsh frog). RNAcentral describes it as "partial 12S ribosomal RNA". It matches the Rfam family "Bacterial small subunit ribosomal RNA", at positions 866 to 1405 of the family's 1533-position model. The record is from RNAcentral. Lineage: Eukaryota; Metazoa; Chordata; Amphibia; Anura; Ranidae.
CCAACGCCAGGGAACUACGAGCAAUGCUUAAAACCCAAAGGACUUGACGGUGUCCCACCCACCUAGAGGAGCCUGUUCUAUAAUCGAUGAUCCCCGCUACACCUAACCAUUCCUCGCCUUUCAGUCUGUAUACCUCCGUCGAAAGCCUACCAUGUGAACGCUUAUAGUAGGCCCAAUGAUUCUCAUCAACACGUCAGGUCAAGGUGCAGCUCACGGAACGGAAAGCAAUGGGCUACAAUUUCUAAUUUAGAACAUACGAAAGACUAUGUGAAAUCCUAGUCAUGAAGGCGGAUUUAGUAGUAAAAGGAAAAUAGAGUGUUCCUUUUAACCUGGCUCUGGGACGCGUACACACCGCCCGUCACCCUCA